GCAUGUUCCAAGGGGGGUCCCGGUCCAGGGGCUGAGAUAGCGCUGGGGCAUCCUGCCCGCCGCGCUGACCCUUUGAACCUGAUCCGGGUCAUGCCGGCGAAGGGACAGGAACGGGCCGCCACG
Molecule: non-coding RNA, 123 nt
Filed under: Roseomonas mucosa
Lineage: Bacteria; Pseudomonadati; Pseudomonadota; Alphaproteobacteria; Acetobacterales; Roseomonadaceae
Description: TPP sequence
Rfam family: TPP riboswitch aptamer (THI element)
About the family: Vitamin B(1) in its active form thiamin pyrophosphate (TPP) is an essential coenzyme that is synthesised by coupling of pyrimidine and thiazole moieties in bacteria. The previously detected thiamin-regulatory element, thi box was extended, resulting in a new, highly conserved RNA secondary structure, the THI element, which is widely distributed in eubacteria and also occurs in some archaea. Analysis of operon structures identified a large number of new candidate thiamin-regulated genes, mostly transporters, in various prokaryotic organisms.
Source: Rfam by way of RNAcentral